Molecule: ribosomal RNA, 253 nt
Filed under: uncultured bacterium
Lineage: Bacteria
Description: partial 16S ribosomal RNA
Rfam family: Bacterial small subunit ribosomal RNA
Source: RNAcentral
UACGAGGGGUGCAAACGUUGCUCGGAAUUAUUGGGCGUAAAGAGCUCGUAGGCGGCUUGUUGCGUCAGCUGUGAAAACCCGCAGCUCAACUGUGGGCUUGCAGCUGAUACGGGCAGGCUUGAGUUCGGUAGGGGAGACUGGAAUUCCUGGUGUAGCGGUGAAAUGCGCAGAUAUCAGGAGGGACACCGAUGGCGAAGGCAGCUCGCUGGGACGGUACUGACGCUGAGGCGCGAAAGCGUGGGGAGCAAACAGG